Long non-coding RNA from Maniola jurtina (meadow brown), 541 nucleotides. RefSeq lists it as uncharacterized. NCBI's taxonomy places the organism in Eukaryota, Metazoa, Arthropoda, Insecta, Lepidoptera, Nymphalidae. The record is from RefSeq and is a predicted model, not a curated record. The transcript is spliced from 4 exons.
UCAAGCAGGCAUGUAUGUUUCACGUAGGUAAACGAAUGUAUUAAAUCACCCUUAAAAACAAAAUAUUAAAAUAGUAGUAUAAAUAAAAAUUUUAAUUUGGAGGUACGAUAAGCCGGUGAGCAUCGGCUUAUGAACCAUAUUUAUCUGACCUGUCAGAGAGACGAAUUCGUAUUCGUUCCGGGGCCACUUUAAUUGGAGGUUCCAUAUUGGCGACCCGUAGAGUGAGACAGACUUAGUUCGCUUCACAGGGAAAUGAAAGAGAUGGAAUGCUAAGUAGUAAGCCGGGAUGGUUACGGGUUAUCGAAGCUAUUUUCUAUUGAUGAUAGAUUUUCCCUGACACUUAUAUAAAUUUUUGGGCGUCUUUGGUACGGUAGCAUAAUUCACUCUGGUAGCCUGCAUGAUAAUAAUCGAACUUUUGCCCUACAUUUGUCACUAAGUACGUAGUGAGUGCGUUAUAUUAUGCGAAUUCUUAAAGGGAAGCCGAUUGGAAUCGGGUUACAUGGACAUUUCGCCACUGCUAUAUACUGUCCAAUAACUGAAC